This 399-nucleotide unclassified non-coding RNA is filed under the name Zea mays. RNAcentral's name for it is "misc RNA Zm00001eb236800". The record is from RNAcentral. Lineage: Eukaryota; Viridiplantae; Streptophyta; Magnoliopsida; Poales; Poaceae.
GCCAGUGCAAAACAGGUUUAUAAGACCAAAGUUAAUGUGUGAUCUAUUUGGUUGUAAAAUCAGCCACAUGGAAGGCCACAAGGACUACAGACGCAGGGGAUCCAACGUUCUUCUUUUCCACCUCUCAGUUCCUACGCACGGACAAUUCUCCUUUCCUCCUUCCGUGGACACACAUUGCAGCAAAGAGAAGGAAGAGAGAAGGGCACAUCCAUGGGAAAAGGAAAGGCUUCGUAGGGGGCUUGCUAGCUUCUGGGCACACUGGGAGCUGCGACCAGGAGACGACGCCGACAGGGGCGAGACGAACAGGGGCGAGACGGACAUGGGCGCGAUCGCAUAGGCGCUUAGCUAGCCAUGGCCCUGGCCAUGGAGGUUUGCCAUGCGAGGGGCACGGGGCUAGCA